GCUACUUUUUGGACGGUUAGGACUUUGAGGAUCUGGAAGGGCAUCUUCAGAUGGUGUAUUUUCUCUAGAUCUAUGCUAAUGUCCUCCUGUGCUGAUGACAAUGACUUGGAAGAUGGUCUUUUUUGGCAAUGGCAUACUCGGAUUCACAAACUUAUCCUCCAACAUCGAGUGGCACAUCAGGUU
Molecule: long non-coding RNA, 183 nt
Organism: Setaria italica (foxtail millet)
Lineage: Eukaryota; Viridiplantae; Streptophyta; Magnoliopsida; Poales; Poaceae
Exons: 3
Source: RefSeq, a predicted model, not a curated record